Molecule: ribosomal RNA, 211 nt
Filed under: uncultured bacterium
Lineage: Bacteria
Description: partial 16S ribosomal RNA
Rfam family: Bacterial small subunit ribosomal RNA
Source: RNAcentral
AGUUCGGAUUGUAGUCUGCAACCCGACUACAUGAAGCCGGAAUCGCUAGUAAUCGCGGAUCAGAAUGCCGCGGUGAAUACGUUCCCGGGUCUUGUACACACCGCCCGUCACACCAUGGGAGCCGGUAAUGCCCGAAGUCUGUGGCCCAACCGAAAGGAAGGAGCAGCCGAAGGCAGGCCCGGUGACUGGGGUGAAGUCGUAACAAGGUAAC